Molecule: ribosomal RNA, 1235 nt
Filed under: Melieria omissa
Lineage: Eukaryota; Metazoa; Arthropoda; Insecta; Diptera; Ulidiidae
Description: partial 16S ribosomal RNA
Source: RNAcentral
UCAAUAUAAAUUGAUUAGAUUUUAUUUAUUAAUAUUUUUUUUAUUGUCUAAAUUAUCAAAAAUAAUUACAAAAUUGAUUGUUUAAGUAAUUUUUAAUGAAUAAAUAGAUUUUAUUAUAGUUGAUUAGUAGCGUGAGUGAAUAUUGAAAUAUUUUGAAAAAUUUUUAUUUAAUAAGAAGAUUUAAUUUAUCGUACCUUGUGUAUCAGGGUUUAUUAAUUAAACAAUAAUUAUUUAUUUUUCUCGAUUUUAUAAGAGUUAAUAAUUUAUUAAAGUUGAUGUAUCAAAAUCAUUUUGAAUAAAUUAUUUGGAAUGAAAUGUUAUUCGUUUAUAAAGGUAUCUAGUUCUUUUAGAAAUAAAUUUAAUUUAGUAAUUUUGAAUUUUUUGUUUAUUUAUAUUAAGUAAAAAAUUUUUUAAUUAUAAUUUUCCAGGGGAUAAGCUUUGGAAAAAAUUAUUAAAAGUUAAUAGUUAUUUUAUGAGAUGUAUGUAUAGAAUUUGCAGUCAUUUUUAAGUUUGUUAUAAAUUAUUUUAUUAUUUAUAUUAUUUAUUUAGCUUUAAUUAUUUAUAGAAGUUUUUAUUUUAAUUUUUAAAAUAAAGUAAUAAUGAUAGAAUUAGUAUAUGUUUAUUGUAAAUUUAAUUUUAUAUGGAAAGUUUAUGUAAAGAAUUCGGCAAAAUUUUAUGCCCGCCUGUUUAACAAAAACAUGUCUUUUUGAGUUAUUUUUAAAGUCUGACCUGCCCAAUGAGUAAAUUGAAUGGCCGCAGUAUACUAACUGUGCAAAGGUAGCAUAAUCAUUAGUCUUUUAAUUGAAGGCUGGUAUGAAUGGUUGGACGAGGUAUAAACUGUUUCAUUUAAAUUUUUGAUAGAAUUUUAUAUUUUAGUUAAAAAGCUAAAAUUUUUUUAAAAGACGAGAAGACCCUAUAAAUCUUUAUAUUUUAUUUUAUUUAAAUUUUUUGGAUUUAUUUUAUUUUUAUAAUUUAAAAUAUUUUAUUGGGGUGAUAUUAAAAUUUAAAUAACUUUUAAUUUUUUAAACCAUUAAUUUAUGUAUAUUUGAUCCGUUAUUAGCGAUUAUAAGUUUAAGUUACUUUAGGGAUAACAGCGUAAUUUUUUUGGAGAGUUCAUAUCGAUAAAAAAGAUUGCGACCUCGAUGUUGGAUUAAGAUAUAAUUUUAGGUGUAGCCGCUUAAAUUUUGAGUCUGUUCGACUUUUAAAUUCUUACAUGAUCUGAGUUCAAACCGGUG